UAACAAGUUCAUUUUUGAUCAAAUUUCGACUGGUUCGUUCUCCGAUCCGGCUGUUCCAUUGAAGCAGGCAUGCCAGAGCUAGAGGAAUUCAAAAUAAACUUUCUGCUAAAGCAUAUAGACACAUGAAUAAACCAAAAUUUAACUGGCUUCUCUUGUAUGUAAUAAGUGUCUACCUCAUUGCUGCAGAAGAUGAUGUUAUUUUAGUUUUUCUAUUUUUAAAACACAAAAUAAAUAUAUAAUAUUUCUUUGUUUUUGUUUUUCUAUUCGUUUGUUUAUUUCCAAUUUCUUGCCUUUUUAACUUUAUAAUCAAGGUUUUGAUGUUUAUCAAUUUUGGCCUAUUGGAACAUAAAAUUAGGAACCAAAAGGCAUUGAGAAUAGAUGUGAUCAUGGGCCGAGCCGGGUCAAGACAAAAUUUUAAGCCCGUUUUCUAGGCCCUAGCCUGGCCCGACCCGAAAGAAAAUUGAUAAGCCCAAGCCCGGCCCUACCCGGCCCAUAUUUGAUUAAAAAAAUAUAUAUCUAGUAUAUAAUUCGGGUCAGGUCGGGCUCGACCCGAAAAAGUCUUACCCGAGGCUCAGCCUGUAAUAGCCCGAUUUUCAGAAAUGUCAAAAACAGUGGUACAAGAUCACCAAAUUCAGAAAAUAAGCUCGUAAAUUUCAUUAUUAAUAACUACGAGCCAAAUAUGAUUUUUAAGAGAUUUUUGAAUUAGUAAUUUGUGUUUUAUAAAAAUUUAUUAAGUCAAGAAAUUGAGGAAAAGAGGUAUCGAGACCUCGAUGUUAUAAACCGAGCCGUAAAUAUUUUUAUAAAUAUUUACGGAGUGUCAAUAUGGUAGUGUUAAAGUUUCGUUAAGAAAUUUUAAAGUUCCGAUAAUUAAUUGAAUAAAAAGAACUAAAUUGUAACAAAUGCAAAAUUAUGAAAAAUGAUUAAAUAGCUUAAAAGAUAAAAGGAAGAGGGCUUAAAAGGCAAAUAGACACAAAGUCCAUUUGGGCUGGACGACAAAGGCAUGAAAUCAACAACAAAGUAAGGAGAAUUAAGGGCAAAAUUGGAAUAUUACAAAAUUUACUUAAUAAAGUUAGGACCAAAGUGGAAUUAUCAAGAUUUCUCUUUAUUUUUCUGCAUUCUCAUCAGCAAAAACACCAUAGAAGGGUUUCCUUAAGCUGGUUCUACAUAUUUUUACUGCAGGUAAGUUCGACUCUUGAUUAUUUCUUGAAAAUUUUGUGUUUUUGUGACUUUUACAACUAGGCCCAUUUAUGGUAUUCAUUAGUUUUUGAUUCUAUGAAAGAAGUUGAAAGUUGCUAUGAAUACAUGCUGGAAGUAUGAUGAUUUAGCAUGGAAUUAGAGAUUUAAAUUGUUCUUAUGCUGAUUUUAUUGAAAGAAUUGAAUAGAAAGUGAAUGUUUGGGACCUAAUAGUAAAAGAGUUUGAAGUUAGGGUUUUAUGUGGAAAUUAUGAAUUUCAAUAGUUGUGAAAUAAUUUAUAAUGUCUAGGUAAAGUACUAAUGGAGAAAUUUUAGCUUAAUUCAGGGGUUAAUUGAGCAAGGACUGAAUUGUAUGAACUGUGAAAUUUGGGACAAAAUGGAAAUCAACAUUUUACACUAAAACAGUUUUGGACAGCAGCAGUGGUUUAAUUUUGAUAAAUCACCAAAAACUGUGGGAAUUGAAUUAGAGGGUGGAUAAAAUAUGGAUUAAAGCUUAUUGAGUCUAGUUUCUCAUAGAAGAAACGGUGUAAGUAAUAAAAUUGUAAAUUAUGAGUUAUAAUAAAUUUUGUGAGACAAUGUCAGAAUAAUUUCGGGUUCCCCUGUUCUGAUUUUGGAAAAUCAUCAAAAAUUGAAUAAAAAUAAUUAUGAGUUGUAAUUUAUAUUCUUAGAAUCCUUAAUGAGUCUAUUUUCAAAAGAAAUAAAUAGAAACAUUAUCCGAAUUCUGUACAAUUAGAUAAUUCAUUUUUAGUGAAGAGUGGUCGGAACUGCCAGACAGUGAAACAGGGGAAACUUUAAAGAAUAAACUGUACUAUUUGGCUAAACCAAAAAUUCUGAAAAUUUUAUGGUAAGAAUAUAUGUGAGUCUAGUUUCAAGAAAAUUAACGGAUCUUAAUUUGGAUCUCUGUAGCUCCAGAUAAAAAUAAUUUAGUGACUCUGACUCAGAUAAACAGCUUUGAAUAUACAUGUGAAUAAAUAGUGAAAUUAUAGCUAAUGUUGUUUAAGUGUGUUAUACACAUUAAGGAUGUGGAAUGGAGAGGAGGAUGAGGAAAAUUUGGAAACAUAUGAAUGAUUUGUGUAUAAUUGGUCAUAAGCUUGAUUAUAAUUGAUAAACGAUGAAAUAGAAAUGAUGCUUAUAUUUGUGCAUUAUUGGUCAUGGUUUAAGCUCAUGUGUGAAAAUAAAGUUUCAUAGUAUGUGUGUAUGGUAUAUUCGGUAUAUGAUUUGGCAUGAAAUAAUGUCAUGAAUGGUUUAUGAAUUAACAUAUGUUGGUAAGCGUGACACAUGAAUAAAUAUUGUGCUCAUCCAUGCUUAUAAUGCUUACGCUAUAAGUGUAUUUGGCUAACAUAUUUGGUGUACAUGCUUAGGCUUUGGCCAAGUAGUGAUUAGAUUAUGCCAUGUUAAAUUUAUAAGUUAUGCAUUGAAAUAGUAAGUUCAUAUGGCUGAAAUUUAAUGAUUAAAUGUUAAUUUCAUGAAUUAUAUAAUGUAUGAUGAAAUAUAUUUAUUGUUGAAAUAAGAAUAAAAUAAAAAUACGAAAACCGAAUAAAUGAUCAAAUUGAGCAGAACGUCGGAUUUGAGUACUUCUGAUCAGUGAUAAGUGAUAAUUGGUUGCUUUAACUACACUUAUCUGAUCAGUGGCAAGUGACAAGUGAUAAGUGAUAGCUUCAGCUACACUUAUCUGAUCAGUGACAAGUGAUAAGUGAUAGCUUCAGCUACACUUAUCUGAUCAGUGACAAGUGACAAGUGAUAAGAGAUAAGUGGUAGCAUUAACUACACUUAUCUAAUCAGUGAUAAUCGGUAAGUGAUAAGUGGUAGCUUAGCUACACUUAUCUGAUUAGGGAUAAGUGAUAAGUGAUCAUACGUUAGACCAUAGUUAUACUAUGGCAAAGUGGAAGUGAAGUACUCAAUUUUCCGUAACCGUUCCCUAAAUUGAUUAAGGAUGGUAAGUGACAAAUGGGCCUAAAAAAAUUAAAGUAAAUGGAUAAGUGGUAGUGUAUUUAUACCAGGAUGAUGUUGUUAUUUAAGCUAAAGUGAUAUUUUCAUUGAAAAAUUGAGAAUUUCGUAAAUGUGUUAAUGAAUGGUAUAAUCGGUAAACGUUAAGUGAUAAAUACGUAUUAGUGUUAAACUUAAUGAGAUUGAAUUGUAUGUGAAUUAAAUGGAAAUUGCUAGUAAUAUGAUCCAAAUUGUGAGCAUGAGAAAUUGUGAAUUGAGUGAAAUGGAAAUGAAGCAUUGAAUUAUACGAGUAUGUAUCGGGUCUCGUAGGCCCUAUUUAUUAAGAUUAUAAUAUUUUGAGGAUAUAUUGUGAAGAGUUAUAAAAGCAUGUUAAUAAUUUUGAAAGUUUUAAUUUAUAUGAAAUUUUAUAACUCGGUUAAAUACGUUUACAAGUGUAUGCAUUCUGGUAAUGCCUCGUAAUCUAUUCCGGUGUUGGAUACAGGUAAGGGGUGUUACACGGCCCAUUUUCUAAACGGGCCUUUUUUUUGCCCAAACCUUUAUUUCAGGCCUAUAUUUUUACCCGAACCCUCCCAUUUUUUGGGUAGGCCGUCGGGUCGAGCCGGGUAGCCCAACCCAUGAUCACCUCUAAUUGAGAAGUGGUUUCUCAAAACAAAAAAAAAAAACCUCCAAAACAAGUUCCUAAUAUAUUUAAUUUUAAUUUAAUUUGUUGAUGUCAUCUAACUCAAUUCAUACAUAUUAUAUGCAAUUGGAUCAAACAAAGCCUAACGAUUAAAUUUAAAUACAUGAUGUUUGCUAUAAGUAAAUAUGAAUUAAAUUUGGUAAAAUUAUAUUGAAAUAAUUUGAGUUGUUUCGAUAAUGAAUAUGAUGUCAUAUACUUGAAUCUGAUGAUCAGACCGAAUAUGGGGUACCACAUAAAAUACUCACAUAAAACAUUUUUAUCAUUUUGCACACAAUUAUGUUAAAAUAUUAAAGUUUAUAAAAGUAGGUGGUAAUGAGAUGAUAACUGGGACAUAAAAACCAAUUUUUUAAUAUUGAAAAUAAAUUUUGGCCGCACAUUGAAACUAGAUUGACCUUAAAAUACUAAUAAUAUUUUUUGAAGAAAAAAGCCCAAUAUGGGAAAAAGUUAUAUUAACUAUGAAACAUCAUUUAAUAGUAAUUGGUGGAUGAAAUUUGGAUAAUUCAAAUGGAUAUCUAAAACACCAUUCUCAUCCAUUUGCUAAUGUGCCAAACAAUGGGUGACAUGAUUGGCUAAAUUAUGGAGAAAAAAACUUACAACAUCAAACAUCACAACAAGCUAGGGCCUCACUAACAAUACGACCAUACAAAAUAAAUCUAGUACCUGGCUAUUGAACUUAUUAACAACAAACGUACAAUUGGACUUUAGCAGGACUCUUAAAAAACUCUUUGUUAAGGGCUUUCUUAGUGGCACAAAAUAAAGUAAGCGCUUCAGCCGAAGGAGCAUCAAAUGCCUCCACAAUCGAGCAAGUAAAUCCUGCUAUCACUAUUCCCUCAUGGUCAUGAACGAUGGCGCCACAAAAAGCUGAUCUCAUCUUUGCAUUCCAUGCCGCGUCAACAUUAAUUUUCAUUGCAUCUUCACAAGGUGGAGACCAUCGGGCCACAAAUAGACGUUUAAGAACCAACAGUAUAUAUAAGAGAUUUUGCACCAGGAACUCAUGAUGAUAGGACCUAGCUCAUAAUACCACAUCUUGUGCGGAAACGCCUCUCCCUAGUUAACAAUCAUAUUCCUAGCCUCCCGCAACUAAUAUAGAAGCACAAUAAAAAUAGUGAAGGCUUCCUUGUCCAACUGCAUUGUUUUGGGCCAAUCACUUCUUAAUAGUUUUAAAUUGUUUUUAAACCCUCAAAAUUGUUCUAAAUUUGAUUAUAUGAUUUUCUUAAAUAUUAUUUUAAAGACUUACUACUUGAAGAAUUAUAAGUCACAUGUGUGUACAUUUAUGUGAUAGUAUCUUGUAUCUGAACCGGUCUUUGAAACGAGUAAUGGGGUGUUACACCUUUUCUUUUAAAAAUAUUGUGAAACUUAAACUCUUUUCAUUGGAAAAGGCAUUAAUAUCUUUUGUAACUGAAAAAAAAAUUAAUGCCAACUGUGUAGUCAUAUUCUAACAAACUAUAAACUGGAAAAGGCAUUAAUAUCAUUUAUAAUUUGCGGUAUUUUUAAAUUUUCUUAGUUCUAUUUUUUUUAGGGUUCUCUCAGUCUUUUCCUUUGCUCGGCCUUUUUCUCAACCACACAUAAGUUAUUUUUAUAAAAAAAAAAUGAAUUUUUAGAAAUGUAUUGAUUUUAUGGAAAUUUUUGUUUGGAAAAUAUUUUUCUUUGUUUGGAAAAUUUGCUUGGAAUAUUUUUUCGAAAGUUAUUUUUAAUGAAACAAACACAAUAUAAAUUAUAUUUGUUACAAAAUAUUAUAAAAAUAUUUCUUUUUCACAACCAAAAUUUAUUUUAUAAUAGUAUCAACCUAAUUAAAUUUUAAUUUUAAUUUAUAUAUUACAUUCAGGAUAAUAGAUAAUGGCACAUCGAAGUUCGAAGGGAUACAUCUACUUAAGCAGGAUUUAAAUUGUAAUAUAUAUAUAUUCAUAAAUUAGUUUUUUUACUCGUGUGAUGCACGAGUUGAACAUGUGCCUUUAUUUGCUUUUAUUUCAAUAUGUUAUAUUAAUUUGCUUAAAUUUUUUUUAUAAAAAAAUUAUAAAUUGAAAUUAGAAGCAUUUUCAAAAUUAAAAAACAAGCAAUAAAAUUUUAUAGCAAAAUGUGCAAUUUUAAUAUGAAAUUGUUAUUUAAAACUAAAUGGAAUUUUUUAGUAUGAGUAAUAUAAAUUAUGAACCAAAUAAUAAUAUUUAUAUAAAACUCAAAUAUGAUAAAAGUAUUGAAAAUUGAUAUUAAUACAUUGAAAUAUUUUCUUCUACAAAUUUAACAACUCAAAUUUGACUAAUACAAUAAUUAGAAAAAGUAAAGAGAAAAAUAUGAUAACUUUAAUAAUACAAAUUAUACAUUAAAAUUAAAUAGGCUUAAUACCUCUUUUGGCCCUUUAACUAUAGCAAAGUUAUCACUUUUUUUUUAUCAGUUGUGCCUUUGUACUUUAUUUUUGUGAUCUAUUUGGCCAUUUUAUUUUAAUUCUGUAAUUCGAUUUCCACAAUUUAUGGUGAUUUUUCAAAGUUAACCUACUGCUAUUGUUCAAAAUUGUUUUAGUGCAAGAUGUUAAUUACUAAGUUUAUAACUCCCUAAUUUCCUUUCUCUACAAUAUUUCCCAUCAUUUUCACUUAUUUCCCUUCACUAAUAUAUCAAGAACAUAAGACUUUAUUUAAGAAAACUCUACUAUAACAUCAUUUACAUGCUUUUUCAACAAUAACAAACUUAAAAGUAUAUUGAAAUCUUGAUGUUCUUACCUUGUGCUAUUGAUUUCAAUCUUUAAUUUGAUUUUCUCUCUCCUCCAGCUUCUAUUUCUUGAAUCUAACUUGACAUUCUGGCUCCCCAUUAUCUCCUUAUUAUUUUUCUCUCUUGGAAGCUAUGGAAAUUCUUUUGAUUUUUAGGUGAAAAUAGUGAAUUUUUGGUGAAAGGACCAAAUUGUAAAGAAAGUAAAAUCUUAAAAAAAUAUUAAUUAAAUAACAUUUAUCUAAUUAAUUAAUUAAAAAUAUCACAAACAUCAUCAUUACCUUCUAGAAUUCUCUCUCUCUAUUUGACCAUUUUGCCCUUUAUAAUCUUUUGAAAUUUCAUCCUUGAGUCAUCACUGAAUUUGGUAAAAUUGUAAUUUAGUCCCUUAAAAUUCUUCACAUUUUUAAUUUGGUCCUAAUUCAUCCCUUUUCCUUAGUUUCUAGAUUAUUCCACCCUUAAAAUAUUUACACUAUUGGUCCUUCAACUUUUUUUGUAUUUACACUUUAACCCUUCAAAUUUUGAGUAUUUACUCUUGGGCAACAAAACUUUUCUCACUUUUGCAAUUUAAUCCUUUCUUGAAUUAAUAUGUCAUAAUAUACUUCUCAAUGUUGACAUAACUCCAUAUUACCCUUUUUAUCACUUUAUUUCCUUAUUUUACUAUAUCAAUGAUAUUAUCUUACUUUUUUACUGUAGUAAUUUUUGGGGUAUUACAAUUCAUAUUAGUCAUAUGCUCAAGACUGUUUUCAUGUUGUUUGAGCCUCUCACUAAUAUGCCUCCAAUUACUUAAACCCUCAUUUGCUAACAAACAUUUGUUACUAAUAGAUUUGAACAACUUACAACAAAAACAAAAUACUUUGUCAACAUGUUUGGAAUAAACCAACCAUUUUCUAUUGAUAAUCUCACCAUUGCUCAACUUCCUAGAAAAAUAAGCAUAUGAAAAAUGUCUAUUAUUAUUAUUGAAAUGAAAAUCAAGAUUCAUUUCUCUUAAUAUAGACCCCUUUUCAACUAAAAUGUUCAUUGUUAUGUUAUCAAGUUUAGCCCAAUUUCUAGGAUCAUAAAUAUCCAAAGAAGGAAUUGUUUUUUCUUCACCAAUGCCAAUAUGAGGAGGAAUUGUUUGUUCUUCAUUAAAACCAAUAUUUUGAAUAUUGGAUACAUUUGGCAUAUCAUUAAGCUCAUUUAGAUAAUUAAUUUCAUUAUUCUCAUUGACAUCAUUAUGCAAACUUUCAUUUGAUUGAUCCAAAUUUUCAUUAGAAACUACUUUUUUAAAAAUAAAUUUAUCAAUAGCACCAUGUUGUGAGUUUUUUAACUCUUCAACACGUUUUCUCUUUUUCCUUUUUUUCACUUCCAGAUAAAUGCUUUUUAGGUAACAUUGUAUAUAAAAGAUAAAUCAAAUACUGAAGUAACACAAGAAAAUAAAACAAUAGCACCUGAUAGAAGAAUUCCAAGUUGAGUAUUUGUUUUUACAUUUGCUAAUUUCAAAAGUCAAAUCAAGUCACUGGAAUUUUGUAAAUAUAAUUCUAAUAAUCAAUUACAGAUAGACAUGGUAAUUAACAAUAUCCAAUUAUUUGUAUGAGAAAUGCACCUAAAAAAUUAAUGAGUAACAAAAACAAUUAAAAGCAUAAAGUCAUAAAGAAAGGGUAUGCAGUAGUAUACUGUACUAUGAGUCAUCAAAAAAGGAAUUAAGGGAAAGAAGCUAAAUAUAAGACUGACUUAAUGACUUUAGUUUAACCCCAAAUAUGUCAUCAAAUUAAGAAUGAAAAAAUUACAAGAAAGAAUAGGAAGGAGGAAAAAUUAUACCUGUAACAAUGGUAGAUCUGGCAAAUUACAGAUGAGAGGUACCAUCGGCAGCAAGCAGGUGCAGCAACUAGUUGAAUACCGACAGACUGACAUAGCCAUGCAGGACGACAACUUUAAAAUGAUGAAAUAAAGUUGUUUAAGUGAUCAAAUGAUCAUAAUAAUGAGGGAGUUAAAAGUCAACUCUUAAAAAUCACAUAUUUUCUUGAAAUUUGACUUAAGAUGGGAGAAAAUGCUAAGGGUAUAUUUGAACACCAAAUACUAAUUAGAUGAAAUUAAUUUUUAGAUAUGUUUGAAUGUUAGAGUGUAAUUAUAUCAUAAUUCUUUAUAUCAUAUUUAGUAAUAUAAAUUAUAAUUAAAAAUUACAUAAUUUAAAAUUUUAAAAAGAUAUUAAUUAUUAUAAAAUGUAUCAAUAAUACUUGAUAAAUUUUUUUAAACAAGUAACAAAAACCUAACUCAAACCAUCGCAUAUAAUAUAUUAGUUUAAAGAAUGUACUCGACAAUACGAUUAGUAAAAUAAUUUAACUAGAAAAGUAAACAUCCUAAACAAUUUAUCUAAUUACUCUAGCAUUUCAUAUUUGUUGAGUUAGUUUUAACAUCAAACAUAUAAUUAUUGUUAUUGCUGAUUAAUUCUUGACCAAGUAUAAAUUAUUAAUAAUAAAUAUUAUAUAAUUAAAUUAACUUUAAUAUAAAUAAUUUAUAAUAAAAACUAUAAAUUUUAAUUAAUUAUUAUUAAAUUAGAAUAUAUUAAAAAAAACUAUCUUUCAUCAUGUCUUUUAGAGUCUCAGCCAAUUAAAUUCAUCCAUGAUGUAAACCUUCUUUCUUUCUUUUCUUUUCCCAUUCAUGAUAAUAAAUAAUUGAAAAAUGAAAAUCAAACGAAAAAAAAAUAGCCUUAAAAUUAGAACACUCUGUUCUGGUGUUGGCAUUGCUGAUUUUUAAAUUUGGGUUAAUUUACACUUUACUCCUGAACUCAGUAACUUGUAUUUAACUUUAGAAAUGAUUAGAUAAAGUGGUACUUCUUUUAGGUACGUGAUUAAUAAAGUUAAGUUUUUAAUACACGUGGUGUGAAAGGAAUGGUUGGAUUGAUAAAAAUAAACGGUAUUAGUCAAGUAUUUAAAAAAAUACCACUUUAUCUAUGGAGUUUUUAAGUUUAGGUUAAAUUCAAAUACGUAUAAAUUAUAAAGUUGAGAGAGUAAAGGGUACUUAAUCCUUAUAAAUUAUAUUAAUAAAAUUUCAUGGUUUUUAUGAUAGUCAUAUAAUGCACAAAAAGAUUCUUAGAACUACAAAUCGAUUCUCUGCGGAAAUAGCGAAUGCAAUUAAGAAGAGUUCACCUAUACAUCCACUGCCACCUCAUCAGACGACAUUACUUGAGAACAGAAAUAAGCUACUUUAUUAAAAAAAGAAAAGAAAAAGAAAAACAAGACACGAAAUGGAAUACGUGUGGAUUAAGGAACUUUCGGGGAUUCAAACAAAACUGUGGUGAAACAGAUUUUUAAUUACGAGUAAUAAAUGCAUCAAACACUUUGGGGAAGCCAAGGUAAACGUGCCUACAAGGUUGGACCAUUUUCUGAAGAAAAUUCUACAAUUCUACAGUUGAAUCACUGGAUAAAACCAAACAUGUCUCUGUUUUUCAAUUGUAUCCCAAAACCAUAUCUUUGUCUUUACUGCUCUCCGACUUUUCCAAUAUGUCUCUCUUCCUUUUCAUGCUCCUCGUCUCCAUUUUGAACCCUGUGGUUUCUCAUAAAAGCUGCGAUUUCCCAGCUGUGUUUAACUUGGGUGACUCUAAUUCCGACACCGGCGGAUAUGCUUCUGCGUUCACUCCACCCACUUCUCCUUAUGGAGAUACCUACUUUCACAUGCCUGCUCGCCGUUUUUCCGAUGGGCGGCUCACCAUUGAUUUCAUAGGUAUGUUAUAACUUCAUUCGCCAUUGCUAUGCUAUGACCACAUGUUUGAAAAUAACAAUAUAUAUAGAUACUUUAGUACACAGAAAAUAUAUAUUUUUAAAAUAAAUAUUUAUUGUACUUUAAAAGAAUACUUCCCAUCGUCUUAAGUUUAUUUGUGGAAUUCUGUUAAGCUAUCAAAUAUAUUUUCAUAUAUAUAAUCCUCACGUUGAAAAAGAUUAAUUAUGGAUAAAAGUGAUGUUCUUACUUGAUGGUUUAUUUUGGCAGCUGAGGCAUUUGGUCUGCCAUUUAUUAAUGCCUAUCUUGAUUCAGUGGGGACCAAUUUCUCGCAUGGCAUAAACUUUGCCACCGCAGCAUCUACAAUCAGAUUACCUAUUAGUGUUAUCCCUAAUGGUGGAUUCAGUCCAUUCUAUUUGGGGUUACAGUACUCACAGUUUGAGCAAUUCAAAGUCAGAUCUCAAAUGAUUAGGAAACAAGGUCAGUAUAUAUUUCAAGUAGCAUUUUAUUAUUUAAAAAAUGACCUGGGAUUGUAAAUGUUAAGAUAUAAACUCUAAAUAUGUAAGAUGCAUUACCUGAACCAACUGUGAUCUUUUCCAUGCAUAGGAGGGUUGUUGGCAAGUUUAAUGCCCAAGGAAGAGUAUUUUUCUAAAGCUUUAUACACAUUUGACAUUGGCCAAAACGAUCUUGGAGAAGGGUUCUUUUCAAACUUGACUAUACAAGAAGUCAAUGCUUCUAUUCCUGACAUAAUCAACAAAUUCUCAGCAAAUAUUAAGGUAUAAUCCUAUUCAGAAAUUUGAUCCAAAUACCCAAGUUAAAAUUUCAAUGAUUUGACCUAAUAAUUCUGGGGUGAAUUUUUUGUUUUUUUUUUUUUGCAGAAUAUAUACAAUUUAGGAGCAAGAUUCUUUUGGGUUCACAACACUGGACCAAUCGGUUGCUUGCCUUAUGUUUUGGUUGCAUUUGCCUCAGCUGAAAAGGACCCUGCUGGUUGUUUAAAGCCUUACAAUGAAGUGGCUCAGUAUUUCAAUCUGAAGCUACAGGAAUCAAUAGCUCAACUCAGAAAUGAAUUCCCUUCAGCUGCAUUUACAUAUGUAGACAUCUAUUCUGUGAAGUAUUCUCUGUUUGCUGAACCCCAAAAACAUGGUAAUUUGACAAAGUACUCGUGUUUGGCACUUGUGUUGGGCCUAUAUCUGCCCGUGUUUGAGCUUUAUAUCUGAUUCUGGACUAAUUUUUCAGGGUUUGAACUUCCACUUGUGACAUGUUGUGGCUAUGGAGGUGAGUACAACUACAGUGCUGCAGUUCUAUGUGGAGGAACAAUUACGGUGAAUGGUACAGAGAUAUUUGUGGGUUCAUGUGAUAAUCCAUCUGUUCGUGUGGUUUGGGAUGGAAUUCACUUUACUGAGGCAGCUAACAAGUUCAUUUUUGAUCAAAUUUCGACUGGUUCGUUCUCCGAUCCGGCUGUUCCAUUGAAGCAGGCAUGCCAGAGCUAGAGGAAUUCAAAAUAAACUUUCUGCUAAAGCAUAUUGACACAUGAAUAAACCAAAAUUUAACUAGCUUCUCUUGUAUGUAAUAAGUGUCUACCUCAUUGCUGCAGAAGAUGAUGUUAUUUUAGUUUUUCUAUUUUUAAAACAGAAAAUAAAUAUAUAAUAUUUCUU
RNAcentral lists this long non-coding RNA (11864 nucleotides) under Gossypium barbadense (sea-island cotton). RNAcentral's name for it is "long non-coding RNA (GBAR_LNC014048)". Lineage: Eukaryota; Viridiplantae; Streptophyta; Magnoliopsida; Malvales; Malvaceae. The record is from RNAcentral.